RNAcentral lists this small RNA (344 nucleotides) under Phanerochaete carnosa HHB-10118-sp. Its description in RNAcentral is "5' ureB small RNA". It matches the Rfam family "5' ureB small RNA". The record is from Rfam by way of RNAcentral. Lineage: Eukaryota; Fungi; Basidiomycota; Agaricomycetes; Polyporales; Phanerochaetaceae.
CCUCAGGGAUCUGCUGGGGACAGAUGUAGUGGCAGUGGACGUCAAUUGCGCCCGCGGUGACGAUGAGCUUCUCGCCGGAGAUAGCCUCGGUAGAUGAGCCAACGACGAGGUUUUCGUCGACGCCGUCCAUGACGUCGGGGUUGCCUGCCUUUCCUAUGCCAGCGAUAAUCCCGUCGCGCACGCCGAUGUCCGCCUUGUCGAAGAUCAGAACAAAAACAGUAGUGGUGAAACAAGUGGGCCACCUUGUAGAUACCAGACCAGUCGAUGAUCAGAGCGUUAGUAAUUACGAGGUCCAGACUCUUUUGUGAGGAACGAUCCGUAGCUUGGCCCAUGCCCUCGCGGAG